Cyanistes caeruleus (blue tit) is the source of this 502-nucleotide long non-coding RNA. RefSeq lists it as uncharacterized. The record is from RefSeq and is a predicted model, not a curated record. Lineage: Eukaryota; Metazoa; Chordata; Aves; Passeriformes; Paridae.
CGGACAGUUUAAAAUGGGACGGGUGCUGCCCAGUGCCAAGAAAAGACGUGCCCGCUCUGCACCAGGUGCAGAGGACUUUGAUUUGAUUUGAGCCAGCUGCCAGUUCUCCAGGAGUCACCUCGCAGGAGAGCCAGGCACAUGUCGAUGACAGAGAGGAAACACUUGUGCCAACCAGAGAUGCUGAAGGCCACCCGGGGCUGUCUCCCCACACUCGGUCAGAGGCACACUUUUUUGGGAUUACCAGAGUUUGGGAAAUGUGUCUUUCUGUGUCUGUAGGUAUCCAGAGUAGCUGCUGUCAGAAAAAUAUCUGCAAAACAUAAUUUGUCUAUUGUCUUAAAUGUUGAAGAAAAAAAAAGUGAUUUUUUUUUUUUUUGUUUUGCAAUAAUGACAGUGUAAAGGCAUAUCUGAGAAGUGAAAAGAAAAAAAAAGUGUUCAUUUAUUAUUUAGUACUUGAAACCACUGAAACCUGGAAUACGAAAUAAAGGUUGUUGUAUUGCUCUGA